RNAcentral lists this long non-coding RNA (897 nucleotides) under Phasianus colchicus (ring-necked pheasant). RNAcentral's name for it is "lncRNA (ENSPCLG00000009849.1)". Lineage: Eukaryota; Metazoa; Chordata; Aves; Galliformes; Phasianidae. The record is from RNAcentral.
AGAGUGCUCUACUUUCAAAAGAAAUCCAAGCAAUUGCUAAGGAAUUGAUGAUCCUAAUUCAGGGAGCAAGGUGCAGAUAUGGUCUGUCACAAAGAUGAGAGCAGCUACUUUUAUGACACCUUUUAAAAAUUAUUUCUUAAAGUUCUGUUAAACUGCUAAAUAAAAACACUUCUAUAUUUUCUGGUUUCUCUUCCCUUUCCCAGCAUUAAGCCUUCACUUUUUAGCCAAAAAAAAAAAAAAAAAAAAGUGUAGUUUGUUAAUGCCGUGCAAUUAAGUUCACCUUGUGUAGGAAGACUUACCUCAAAGCUUGAACUGGUGAUUGAGCACCUGGUGAAAGGCUGUGGCUGCCCAGGGAGCACCUGUGCUCCCCACCUGGCCAGAAGGGGUGGAACCAGGGGGAGCCAGCCUGGGCUCAAACAAGGGCUGGCUAGUGAAUGGAGAGCAUCUAGGCUGCUUUCUGAGAAGGAGUGCUGUGUAGCCAGAGAUCCCCUUUACCAGUUUGCCCAUAGCCUGUCAGAUGGGUAUGCACCAGCCCUGGAGCCAAACAAGACUUCUUGCAACUGCAGCUUUUGAUUGUAACUGGCCCACAAGGAAUAUGACAGCUCUUGGACCGUCCCAGCACUUGUAAGGUGAUAUGUGACUUUAAAGAAGAUGGCACAAAGGAAUUCAAGGGAGUUAUGAACGAUGCAGAUGUUUUGUCAAAGAGAAAAACAUUAGCAAGAACUUUCUGCAUCAAGAAAGAGGACUAUCUUUGCCAGUAUCCCCUAUAGGGGAUGGUUAGACAAGAGCUGAGUGAAAAAAUGCAAUGAUCCUCCUCUAGACAACUCUCCAAUUCUCUAACGGUUUGUGACCCAAUGACUUCUGUAGAAAUAAAAACUGUUUCGAUCCCCUGUCUCA